AAAAGUUUAGUUAAACAAAUAACAUUAACUUGUCAAGUUAAAAUUAUUUUAAAAAUAACUUUUA
This 64-nucleotide transfer RNA is filed under the name Himaloaesalus gaoligongshanus. RNAcentral's name for it is "tRNA-Asp". The record is from RNAcentral. Lineage: Eukaryota; Metazoa; Arthropoda; Insecta; Coleoptera; Lucanidae.